UAGGGAAUCUUCGGCAAUGGACGAAAGUCUGACAGAGCAACGCCGCGUGAGUGAAGAAGGUUUUCGGAUCGUAAAACUCUGUUGUUAGAGAAGAACAAGGACGUUAGUAACUGAACGUCCCCUGACGGUAUCUAACCAGAAAGCCACGGCUAACUACGUGCCAGCAGCCGCGGUAAUACGUAGGUGGCAAGCGUUGUCCGGAUUUAUUGGGCGUAAAGCGAGCGCAGGCGGUUUCUUAAGUGUGAUGUGAAAGCCCCCGGCUCAACCGGGGAGGGUCAUUGGAAACGGGGAGACGUGAGUGCAGAAGAGGAGAGUGGAAUUCCAUGUGUAGCGGUGAAAUGCGUAGAUAUAUGGAGGAACACCAGUGGCGAAGGCGGCUCUCUGGUCUGUAACUGACGCUGAGGCUCGAAAGCGUGGGGAGCAAACAGG
RNAcentral lists this ribosomal RNA (429 nucleotides) under Gemmatimonadota bacterium. RNAcentral's name for it is "Gemmatimonadetes bacterium partial 16S ribosomal RNA". It matches the Rfam family "Bacterial small subunit ribosomal RNA", at positions 355 to 776 of the family's 1533-position model. Lineage: Bacteria; Pseudomonadati; Gemmatimonadota. The record is from RNAcentral.